Long non-coding RNA from Melanaphis sacchari, 235 nucleotides. RefSeq lists it as uncharacterized. Lineage: Eukaryota; Metazoa; Arthropoda; Insecta; Hemiptera; Aphididae. The transcript is spliced from 3 exons. The record is from RefSeq and is a predicted model, not a curated record.
GUGUAAGUGACAUUGGUACAACUAUAGAUGAAAAUAUUUGGAGGGUGCAAAAAUUAUAUAGCUAUGAGUUUUUUCUAAGUAUUAUCGAUGAUUUAAGUUGGGAAGACAUGUUUAUUCUGCAGGAUUACACCACAAAAAAAGGUUUUGGUUCAGACUACUGGAGCAAAUAAACCGGAUAUUUUAUAAAAUAUAAAGUACAAUCAAUCAUAAGUAAAAUAUUGAGUUACUAUAAUCU